UUGGCAACAACAUCGCUGUAAACUAGUAAACAUGGCGCCUCCCUCGGAAUGUCAUCCUUUGGGAGGUGGCUACUGUACAAACUUCCUUAAAAUUUUAUUCUUAUCUUCACUCUUAUCUACUGCACACGGCUACUACCAGGGGCCUCGUGAAAGGUGCUCAAUACCUCAAACACUACAGGGAGAGUGGUACUCCAAGGAGCGCGGCGAUGACACCUAUACGACCAUCGACAACAACCGCAUGUCAAACCGGGGCGACUGCCUUCACCUCGUCAAACAAUCUAACGACAUCUUUACCAUCAUAUUUGAAUACAGUGCCUGCUACUACUGCGUUCGCAUAUUUGUACGGACCCUGAACGUUCUGGAAAAGAUAGAAACUGGAUGCGUCAACCUGAAUGAUGGUGAAACACCUGAUGUGAAGACUGUGUGCCGCUCCCUUGAUGUCAAGCAAGAGAGGAUCACCCUUUUCUCAACCAACCCAACGGCAAAGAACUGCCGUUCAAGCCUGGAAGGCGUGUGGAAGUUUGCGUACCAAAACACGUACAAGUUCACGGGCGAGUGUAAGCAUCCAGACGCCAACAUAACAGCCUGUCAGAUGCCGGGCACCCAGUUCUUCGUCGUCAACCAGCAGUUCACCAUUAACUACAAGCAGUGUGAGGGCAUGCUGGAGACCGAGGAGGGAGAGGUUCAGUACAAGUGCCUGGGGGACUGGUACGUUGGCAAGAACCACUACUUCGCUGUCAUGAACACUCGUGAGAGUCGUAUUGACGCAAAGUAUCGCUGCUUUCUUGCAAACAGAGAUGAUGACAUCUACCUCGGUGUCUCUAUUGAACCUGAGUGUUCAUCUCUCAAAACACCUCAGGAGUCGCCUGAGCGCUACCGCAUGGAACAAGUGAAAACCGAGAUCGUGCAGCCAAGCUGCACGCUGCCCGACAACUUCACCGGCAUGUGGCUCAACACGGCCAACUUUGACGCACAGGUCAUCAUUAACAAAACGCACAUAGUCGAAACCUGGAAGCCGGAUACCGGUCGGAUCAAGGAGCAGAUCUACGUGUGCGUUGAAGCACGGGAGAACAGAUACCUCAUGGCUCGUCAUGGCAUUCACGGCUGCCAGAGGGACUUUGUUUGCUUCAACUUUGUGCCGCGGCACCACAGUGUCAUCCGUUACAGGAAAGGCAAGGAAAUGAUCACAGAUGAGUUCUCAACUGUCUGCUCAUGGACCAUGUUCCCUGACAAACAGCAAUGGCGCUAUGACAUCCUCAUCUCGAGAGAGCCGGUCUCCAUCAAGUGCCCGGUGGCAGGAAAGUUCCGGUUUGACCAGACGGGCGACAUACCUUUCGAGACGCGAAUCCGCGGAGGGGUCACCCAGAUUCCGCGGCCCAAUGUAUACUGCAAGGAGAACAUCUCUGACUUCUCCGUGUGCGACAAGGAUCAGAAGAUCAUCCUCAUCGAUGCCAACUACUGUAUUUCUGUUGACUACUACGGCCGGCCUGUGGACAUCUACAGUGAACCUGACUACGAGCUCAAGUGUAUUGCCUUCUGGAAAGAAAACUUACGGUCAUACCUCAUCACCUACAACGAGGAGGAUGCUUACAGCAAAUAUCGGUGCUGGGUGUACCAACGAGCAGACCUAAACCGUGUCCUCAUGUCCCAGUCUGUGGGGGCAUUUUGCCACGUCCUGCAAGAUGUCACCUCCAACAACUACACCGAAGGCGCUGAAGUUGCCCUGGACAUGGUCGAAUAUGAGCGUGAACAUGAUGACUGUCCGAUGUACUUCGAUGACGGAUCCAAUCCGUAUCAGCAGAUUGCCGAGCAGGCGGCAAUUCUGAUGGGCUCUGCAACUAGCCUCACGAGCCACAUAUCAGUCGUACACCUUAUGCUUCUGGUAUGUCUGCGCUCCUUGUUGUGACUGCAAAGCAGCUGAUAGAGCAAGGAUUUUAUGCUGUGGAUCUGAAGAGGCUCAAGACUUAAGACUAUGCCAUGAGCAAAGUGCAAGACAAGUUGUGUGGCCAGUCGCACGCCUCUUGGUAGACUUG
This 2033-nucleotide unclassified non-coding RNA is filed under the name Dermacentor andersoni. RNAcentral describes it as "uncharacterized LOC126517746". The record is from RNAcentral. Lineage: Eukaryota; Metazoa; Arthropoda; Arachnida; Ixodida; Ixodidae.